This 480-nucleotide ribosomal RNA is filed under the name uncultured bacterium. Its description in RNAcentral is "partial 16S ribosomal RNA". It matches the Rfam family "Bacterial small subunit ribosomal RNA", at positions 28 to 523 of the family's 1533-position model. The record is from RNAcentral.
GACGAACGCUGGCGGCGUGCUUAACACAUGCAAGUCGAACGGAAAGGCCCUUUCGGGGGUACACGAGUGGCGAACGGGUGAGUAACACGUGGGUGAUCUGCCCUGCACUUUGGGAUAAGCCUGGGAAACUGGGUCUAAUACCGGAUAGGACUACGCGAUGCAUGUCGUGUGGUGGAAAGCUUUUGCGGUGUGGGAUGGGCCCGCGGCCUAUCAGCUUGUUGGUGGGGUGAUGGCCUACCAAGGCGACGACGGGUAGACGGCCUGAGAGGGUGGCCGGCCACACUGGGACUGAGAGACGGCCCAGACUCCUACGGGAGGCAGCAGUGGGGAAUAUUGCACAAUGGGCGCAAGCCUGAUGCAGCGACGCCGCGUGAGGGAUGACGGCCUUCGGGUUGUAAACCUCUUUCAACGCCGACGAAGCGUAAGUGACGGUAGGCGUAGAAGAAGCACCGGCCAACUACGUGCCAGCAGCCGCAGUAA